GUAGGCGGUUUAAUAAGUGAAUAGUGAAACCUGGUGGCUCAACCAUACAGACUAUUAUUCAAACUGUUAAACUCGAGAGUGGUAGAGGUAACNUGGAAUUUCUAGUGUAGGAGUGAAAUCCGUAGAUAUUAGAAGGAACACCAAUGGCGUAGGCAGGUUACNUGGACCAUUUCUGACGCUAAGGCACGAAAGCGUGGGGAGCGAACUGGAUUAGAUACCCAGGUAGUCCACGCCGUAAACGAUGGAUACUAGCUGUUGGAGGUAUCGACCCCUUCAGUAGCGAAGCUAACGCGUUAAGUAUCCCGCCUGUGGAGUACGGCCGCAAGGCUAAAACAUAAAGGAAUUGACGGGGACCCGCACAAGCGGUGGAUCAUGUUCUUUAAUUCGAUGAUAAACGAAGAACCUUACCAGGGUUUGACAUCCCGAGAAGAUUUACGAAAGUAGAUUGUGCCUUUUGGAACUCGGUGACAGAUGAUGCAUGGCCGUCGUCAGCUCGUGUCGUGAGAUGUUUGGUUAAGUCCAUCAACGAGCGCAACCCUUGUGAAUAGUUGAAUUUUUCUAUUCAGACUGCCCCGGCAACGGGGAGGAAGGAGGGGGAUGAUGUCAGGUCAGUAUUUCCCUUACAUCCUGGGCUAGAAACGUGAUACAAUGGCAAGUACAAUGCNCAGCGAAGCCCCGAGGUGAAGCAAAUCGCACCAAAACU
Molecule: ribosomal RNA, 703 nt
Filed under: uncultured Candidatus Saccharibacteria bacterium
Lineage: Bacteria; Candidatus Saccharimonadota
Description: bacterial SSU rRNA
Rfam family: Bacterial small subunit ribosomal RNA
Source: RNAcentral